AGAGUUUGAUCCUGGCUCAGGAUGAACGCUAGCGGCAGGCCUAACACAUGCAAGUCGAGGGGCAUCGGGAUUGAAGCUUGCUUCAAUUGCCGGCGACCGGCGCACGGGUGCGUAACGCGUAUGUAACCUACCUAUAACAGGGGCAUAACACUGAGAAAUUGGUACUAAUUCCCCAUAAUAUUCGGAGAGGCAUCUCUCCGGGUUGAAAACUCCGGUGGUUAUAGAUGGACAUGCGUUGUAUUAGCUAGUUGGUGAGGUAACGGCUCACCAAGGCAACGAUACAUAGGGGGACUGAGAGGUUAACCCCCCACACUGGUACUGAGACACGGACCAGACUCCUACGGGAGGCAGCAGUGAGGAAUAUUGGUCAAUGGACGCAAGUCUGAACCAGCCAUGCCGCGUGCAGGAAGACGGCUCUAUGAGUUGUAAACUGCUUUUGUACGAGGGUAAACUCACCUACGUGUAGGUGACUGAAAGUAUCGUACGAAUAAGGAUCGGCUAACUCCGUGCCAGCAGCCGCGGUAAUACGGAGGAUUCAAGCGUUAUCCGGAUUUAUUGGGUUUAAAGGGUGCGUAGGCGGUUUGAUAAGUUAGAGGUGAAAUCCCGGGGCUUAACUCCGGAACUGCCUCUAAUACUGUUAGACUAGAGAGUAGUUGCGGUAGGCGGAAUGUAUGGUGUAGCGGUGAAAUGCUUAGAGAUCAUACAGAACACCGAUUGCGAAGGCAGCUUACCAAACUAUAUCUGACGUUGAGGCGCGAAAGCGUGGGGAGCAAACAGGAUUAGAUACCCUGGUAGUCCACGCAGUAAACGAUGAUAACUCGUUGUCGGCGAUACACAGUCGGUGACUAAGCGAAAGCGAUAAGUU
Molecule: ribosomal RNA, 865 nt
Filed under: human gut metagenome
Description: bacterial SSU rRNA
Rfam family: Bacterial small subunit ribosomal RNA
Source: RNAcentral